AUUGAACGCUGGCGGCAUGCUUUACACAUGCAAGUCGAACGGUAACAGCACUUCGGUGGCUGACGAGUGGCGAACGGGUGAGUAAUACAUCGGAACGUGCCUAGUAGUGGGGGAUAACUACUCGAAAGAGUAGCUAAUACCGCAUGAGAUCUAAGGAUGAAAGCAGGGGACCUUCGGGCCUUGCGCUACUAGAGCGGCUGAUGGCAGAUUAGGUAGUUGGUGGGAUAAAAGCUUACCAAGCCGACGAUCUGUAGCUGGUCUGAGAGGACGACCAGCCACACUGGGACUGAGACACGGCCCAGACUCCUACGGGAGGCAGCUGUGGGGAAUUUUGGACAAUGGGCGCAAGCCUGAUCCAGCAAUGCCGCGUGCAGGAUGAAGGCCUUCGGGUUGUAAACUGCUUUUGUACGGAACGAAAAGCCCUCUUCUAAUACAGGAGGGUCAUGACGGUACCGUAAGAAUAAGCACCGGCUAACUACGUG
This 482-nucleotide ribosomal RNA is filed under the name uncultured bacterium. Its description in RNAcentral is "partial 16S ribosomal RNA". It matches the Rfam family "Bacterial small subunit ribosomal RNA", at positions 30 to 507 of the family's 1533-position model. The record is from RNAcentral.